UACGUAGGUGGCAAGCGUUGUCCGGAAUUAUUGGGCGUAAAGCGCGCGCAGGCGGUCCUUUAAGUCUGAUGUGAGAGCCCACGGCUCAACCGUGGAGGGUCAUUGGAAACUGGAGGACUUGAGUACAGAAGAGGAAAGCGGAAUUCCACGUGUAGCGGUGAAAUGCGUAGAGAUGUGGAGGAACACCAGUGGCGAAGGCGGCUUUCUGGUCUGUAACUGACGCUGAGGCGCGAAAGCGUGGGGAGCAAACAGG
Molecule: ribosomal RNA, 253 nt
Filed under: uncultured bacterium
Lineage: Bacteria
Description: partial 16S ribosomal RNA
Rfam family: Bacterial small subunit ribosomal RNA
Source: RNAcentral